RNAcentral lists this ribosomal RNA (252 nucleotides) under uncultured bacterium. Its description in RNAcentral is "partial small subunit ribosomal RNA". It matches the Rfam family "Bacterial small subunit ribosomal RNA", at positions 26 to 280 of the family's 1533-position model. The record is from RNAcentral.
AGGACGAACGCUGGCGGCGUGCUUAACACAUGCAAGUCGAACGGAAAGGCCCUUUCGGGGGUGCUCGAGUGGCGAACGGGUGAGUAACACGUGGGUGAUCUGCCCUGCACUUUGGGAUAAGCCUGGGAAACUGGGUCUAAUACCGAAUACACCUUGCUGGCUGCAUGGCUGGUGGGGAAAGCUUUUGCGGUGUGGGAUGGGCCCGCGGCCUAUCAGCUUGUUGGUGGGGUGAUGGCCUACCAAGGCGACGAC